This 2925-nucleotide ribosomal RNA is filed under the name Lactiplantibacillus pentosus. RNAcentral describes it as "23S ribosomal RNA". It matches the Rfam family "Bacterial large subunit ribosomal RNA". Lineage: Bacteria; Bacillati; Bacillota; Bacilli; Lactobacillales; Lactobacillaceae. The record is from RNAcentral.
GGUUAAGUUAACAAGGGCGCAUGGUGAAUGCCUUGGCACUAGGAGCCGAUGAAGGACGGGACUAACACCGAUAUGCUUCGGGGAGCUGUACGUAAGCUAUGAUCCGGAGAUUUCCGAAUGGGGCAACCCAGCAGUUUUAAUCAACUGUUACCACUAGAUGAAUUCAUAGUCUAGUUGGAGGUAAACGCUGUGAACUGAAACAUCUCAUUAGCAGCAGGAAUAUAAAGAAAUUUCGAUUCCCUAAGUAGCGGCGAGCGAACGGGGAACAGCCCAAACCAAAGUGCUUGCACUUUGGGGUUGUAGGACUGAACAUUUGAGUUACCAAAGAACUUGAUAGUCGAAGGAUUUGGGAAAAUCCGCCAUAGAUGGUGAUAGCCCAGUAGAUUAAAUCAAAUUCUCUCAGUUCAGGAUCCUGAGUACGGCGGAACACGUGAAAUUCCGUCGGAAUCCGGGAGGACCAUCUCCCAAGGCUAAAUACUACCUAGUGACCGAUAGUGAACCAGUACCGUGAGGGAAAGGUGAAAAGCACCCCGGGAGGGGAGUGAAAUAGUUCCUGAAACCAUGUGCCUACAAUAAGUCAGAGCGCGUUAAUGCGUGAUGGCGUGCCUUUUGUAGAAUGAACCGGCGAGUUAUGAUCCCGUGCAAGGUUAAGACUAAAAAGUCGGAGCCGUAGCGAAAGCGAGUCUGAAAUGGGCGAUUUGAGUACGAGGUUAUAGACCCGAAACCAGGUGACCUAUCCAUGUCCAGGUUGAAGGUGCGGUAAAACGCACUGGAGGACCGAACCCGUGUAAGUUGAAAAUUGCUGGGAUGAGGUGUGGAUAGCGGUGAAAUUCCAAACGAACUUGGAGAUAGCUGGUUCUCUCCGAAAUAGCUUUAGGGCUAGCCUCGGAUUAAGGAUCAUGGAGGUAGAGCACUAUUUGGACUAGGGGCCCGUCUUGGGUUACUGAAUUCAGAUAAACUCCGAAUGCCAUUGAUUCAUGUCCGGGAGUCAGACGAUGAGUGAUAAGAUCCACCGUCGAAAGGGGAACAGCCCAGACCAUCAGUUAAGGUCCCUAAAUGUAUGCUAAGUGGAAAAGGAUGUGGAGUUGCAUAGACAACUAGGAUGUUGGCUCAGAAGCAGCCACCAUUUAAAGAGUGCGUAAUAGCUCACUAGUCGAGUGAUCCUGCGCCGAAAAUGUACCGGGGCUAAGCAUACUACCGAAACCAUGGAUGCGACCAUUAGGUCGCGUGAUAGGAGAGCGUUCUAAGGGCGGUGAAGCAAGAUCGUGAGGACUUGUGGAGCGCUUAGAAGUGAGAAUGCCGGUAUGAGUAGCGAAAGAUAGGUGAGAAUCCUAUCCACCGAAUGACUAAGGUUUCCUGGGGAAGGCUCGUCCUCCCAGGGUUAGUCGGGACCUAAGUCGAGGCCGAGAGGCGUAGACGAUGGAUAACAGGUUGAGAUUCCUGUACUAGUUAAGUGCGUUUGAGCAAUGGAGGGACGCAGGAGGCUAAGAUGUGCAUUCUGUUGGAUUAGAAUGUCCAAGCAGUAAGUCUUGUGGAGAGUCAAAUGCUUUUCACUUUAAGGACAAGCUGUGAUGGGGAGCGAAAUUUAGUAGCGAAGCGUCUGAUGUCACACUGCCGAGAAAAGCUUCUAGUGAGUACUUAACUACCCGUACCGCAAACCGACACAGGUAGUCGAGGAGAGAAUCCUAAGGUGAGCGAGUGAACUCUCGUUAAGGAACUCGGCAAAAUGACCCCGUAACUUCGGGAGAAGGGGUGCUGAUCGCAAGAUCAGCCGCAGUGAAUAGGCCCAGGCGACUGUUUAUCAAAAACACAGGUCUCUGCAAAAUCGUAAGAUGACGUAUAGGGGCUGACGCCUGCCCGGUGCUGGAAGGUUAAAAGGAUGGGUUAGCUUCGGCGAAGCUCAGAAUUGAAGCCCCAGUAAACGGCGGCCGUAACUAUAACGGUCCUAAGGUAGCGAAAUUCCUUGUCGGGUAAGUUCCGACCCGCACGAAAGGCGUAACGAUCUGGGCACUGUCUCAACGAGAGACUCGGUGAAAUUAUAUUGUCCGUGAAGAUGCGGACUACCCGCGACAGGACGGAAAGACCCCAUGGAGCUUUACUGUAGCUUGAUAUUGAGUGUUUGUACAGCUUGUACAGGAUAGGUAGGAGCCAUAGAAACCGGAACGCUAGUUUCGGUGGAGGCGUUGGUGGGAUACUACCCUCGCUGUAUGACCACUCUAACCCGCACCACUAAUCGUGGUGGGGGAGACAGUGUCAGGUGGGCAGUUUGACUGGGGCGGUCGCCUCCUAAAAAGUAACGGAGGCGCCCAAAGGUUCCCUCAGAAUGGUUGGAAAUCAUUCGCAGAGUGUAAAGGCACAAGGGAGCUUGACUGCGAGACAGACAGGUCGAGCAGGGACGAAAGUCGGGCUUAGUGAUCCGGUGGUACCGUAUGGAAGGGCCAUCGCUCAACGGAUAAAAGCUACCCUGGGGAUAACAGGCUUAUCUCCCCCAAGAGUCCACAUCGACGGGGAGGUUUGGCACCUCGAUGUCGGCUCAUCGCAUCCUGGGGCUGUAGUCGGUCCCAAGGGUUGGGCUGUUCGCCCAUUAAAGCGGUACGCGAGCUGGGUUCAGAACGUCGUGAGACAGUUCGGUCCCUAUCCGUCGCGGGCGUAGGAAAUUUGAGAGGACCUGUCCUUAGUACGAGAGGACCGGGAUGGACAUACCUCUGGUGUACCAGUUGUGCCGCCAGGCGCAUCGCUGGGUAGCUACGUAUGGAUGUGAUAAACGCUGAAAGCAUCUAAGUGUGAAACACACCUCGAGAUGAGAUUUUUCCCAUUCCUUUAUGGAAGUAAGACCCCUGAAAGAUGAUCAGGUAGAUAGGUUAGAAGUGGCAGUGCGGUGACGCAUGAAGCGGACUAAUACUAAUCGGUCGAGGACUUAACCAA